AGCUUUGCGCAGUGGCAGUAUCAUAGCCAAUGGGGUUUAUCCGAGGUGCGAUUAUUGCUAAUUGAAAACUUUUCCCAAUUUAAAAAAAAAUUUCAGCCAUCCUACCUCUAAU
RNAcentral lists this small nuclear RNA (112 nucleotides) under Fukomys damarensis (Damara mole-rat). Its description in RNAcentral is "U4 spliceosomal RNA". It matches the Rfam family "U4 spliceosomal RNA". Rfam says of the family: U4 small nuclear RNA (U4 snRNA) is a component of the major U2-dependent spliceosome. The structure of U4 snRNA from yeast and human has been reported. The record is from Rfam by way of RNAcentral. Lineage: Eukaryota; Metazoa; Chordata; Mammalia; Rodentia; Bathyergidae.